UGUGAUAGUGCUUUUCUUUCAGAAGUUGU
This 29-nucleotide non-coding RNA is filed under the name Mus musculus (house mouse). The record is from RNAcentral. Lineage: Eukaryota; Metazoa; Chordata; Mammalia; Rodentia; Muridae.